CACGUAGAGGCGCAAUGCUUAAGAGUAGGAUUUAUGAUUCUUGCAAGAGAAUAAGAUUAGAUCCAAAAGGAUGUGUUGCCGAAGGGAUAUGUUACUUGCAUGACCUAUUCCUGGGGGUAUAGUUAAUAACUAUACAACUGUCACCUUUUGCUAUACAAUAGGUGGUGUGCUACUGUG
RNAcentral lists this non-coding RNA (177 nucleotides) under uncultured Niameybacter sp. RNAcentral describes it as "Lysine riboswitch". It matches the Rfam family "Lysine riboswitch aptamer". From Rfam's summary of the family: Riboswitches are metabolite binding domains within certain messenger RNAs that serve as precision sensors for their corresponding targets. Allosteric rearrangement of mRNA structure is mediated by ligand binding, and this results in modulation of gene expression. The record is from RNAcentral. Lineage: Bacteria; Bacillati; Bacillota; Clostridia; Lachnospirales; Lachnospiraceae.